RNAcentral lists this ribosomal RNA (253 nucleotides) under uncultured prokaryote. RNAcentral's name for it is "partial 16S ribosomal RNA". It matches the Rfam family "Bacterial small subunit ribosomal RNA", at positions 524 to 776 of the family's 1533-position model. The record is from RNAcentral.
UACGGGGGGAGCAAGCGUUGUUCGGAUUUACUGGGCGUAAAGGGCGCGUAGGCGGCGCAACAAGUCACUUGUGAAAUCUCCGGGCUUAACUCGGAGCGGCCAAGUGAUACUGUCGUGCUAGAGUGCGGAAGGGGCUACUGGAAUUCUCGGUGUAGCGGUGAAAUGCGUAGAUAUCGAGAGGAACACCUGCGGCGAAGGCGGCUGCCUGGGCCUGGCCUGACGCUGAGGCGCGAAAGCGUGGGGAGCGAUCCGG